Molecule: ribosomal RNA, 406 nt
Filed under: uncultured bacterium
Lineage: Bacteria
Description: partial 16S ribosomal RNA
Rfam family: Bacterial small subunit ribosomal RNA
Source: RNAcentral
AGUGAACGCUGGCGGCAGGCCUAACACAUGCAAGUCGAACGAGUGGCGGACGGGUGAGUAAUGUCUGUGAAACUGCCUGAUGGAGGGGGAUAACUACUGGAAACGGUAGCUAAUACCGCAUACCAUCAGAUGUGCCCAGAUGGGAUUAGCUAGUUGGUGGGGUAACGGCUCACCAAGGCGACGAUCCCUAGCUGGUCUGAGAGGAUGACCAGCAACACGUGAACUAGGACACGGUCCAGACUCCGACGGGAGGCAGGAGUGGAGAAUAUUGGACAAUGGGCGCAAGCCUGUUGCAGCCAUGCCGCGUGUAUGAAGAAGGCCUUCGGGUUGUAAAGUACUUUCAGCGGGGAGGCGUUACCCGCAGAAGAAGCACCGGCUAACUCCGUGCCAGCAGCCGCGGUAAUUC